UUGAACGCUGGCGGCAUGCCUUACCCAUGCCAGUCGAACGGUAACAGGUCUUCGGAUGCUGACGAGUGGCGAACGGGUGAGUAAUACAUCGGAACGUGCCCAGACGUGGGGGAUAACGAGGCGAAAGCUUUGCUAAUACCGCAUACGACCUAAGGAUGAAAGCAGGGGACCGCAAGGCCUUGCGCGUUUGGAGCGGCCGAUGGCAGAUUAGGUAGUUGGUGGGAUAAAAGCUUACCAAGCCGACGAUCUGUAGCUGGUCUGAGAGGACGACCAGCCACACUGGGACUGAGACACGGCCCAGACUCCUACGGGAGGCAGCAGUGGGGAAUUUUGGACAAUGGGCGAAAGCCUGAUCCAGCAAUGCCGCGUGCAGGAUGAAGGCCUUCGGGUUGUAAACUGCUUUUGUACGGAACGAAAAGGCUCUGGCUAAUACCUGGGGCACAUGACGGUACCGGAAGAAUAAGCACCGGCUAACUACGUG
This 481-nucleotide ribosomal RNA is filed under the name uncultured bacterium. RNAcentral's name for it is "partial 16S ribosomal RNA". It matches the Rfam family "Bacterial small subunit ribosomal RNA", at positions 30 to 507 of the family's 1533-position model. The record is from RNAcentral.